Molecule: long non-coding RNA, 678 nt
Organism: Bactrocera neohumeralis
Lineage: Eukaryota; Metazoa; Arthropoda; Insecta; Diptera; Tephritidae
Exons: 4
Source: RefSeq, a predicted model, not a curated record
GUGCUACAUUUGCGAUUUGUUGUUAAAGUGAAUAAAAGUGAAUGAGAAUAAACAAAAUAAUGAAAAAUACCAAAUGUCUUUUAAAAAAUUAAAAAUGAAUGAGAGAUGGGCUGAAAAUAUUCAACCACAGUAAGUUCCAGCUCUAACUGUAACUGCAGCGUUGUAAAUGAGCAAUUUCUCGCUGUUAAAGGUAGUUAUAACUACAUAUAUGUGCAAUGUACAUUGUAAAAAUCAGAAGUAUGUAAGAAAUAACAUUAAUGCCGGUAUUCUGCGAGCAGUCUCAAGUCUCUAAUAGAGACGAAUCUGUGGUGAAAUCUAUUUUGAGACUGUUUGGUAUUCUGGCGAGUUUGUCUCAUCUCUAAUUGAGCCAUAUCAGUCUCUAACUUGUUAUGUGCUUUGCAGCAGGUCAUAGAAAAAUAAGAACACAACAAUGGCUGAUGAAGUUGGACUAUUUUACCUUAUGAUGAAACAACGAGAGGAGGAAGAGAGCUACAUUCGCAGGCGCAAUCUGACUGUUUUGCGAAACAAAAUGAUCCGCUUUUAUACGAAGAGAACACAUUCAGGAAGUUCUUCCGAUUUCCCAAAUCUUUGUGCUGGGAUCUCAUUAAUCAACUCAAGCCGUAUGACCAACAGCAAACAUCGAUUCCAUUUGAACUUCGGGUGAGUUACAUUUUAACA